UUAACUCAAAUUUGUAUGGAGUUGGAACGUUUGAAUAUGUUUGCUGCUAGGGGCGCUGUUCCAACUGCGUAGUAAUUUGAGUUA
Molecule: microRNA precursor, 84 nt
Filed under: Bombyx mori (domestic silkworm)
Lineage: Eukaryota; Metazoa; Arthropoda; Insecta; Lepidoptera; Bombycidae
Description: mir-2807 microRNA precursor family
Rfam family: mir-2807 microRNA precursor family
Source: Rfam by way of RNAcentral